RNAcentral lists this ribosomal RNA (600 nucleotides) under uncultured Gammaproteobacteria bacterium. RNAcentral describes it as "bacterial SSU rRNA". It matches the Rfam family "Bacterial small subunit ribosomal RNA", at positions 54 to 633 of the family's 1533-position model. Lineage: Bacteria; Pseudomonadati; Pseudomonadota; Gammaproteobacteria. The record is from RNAcentral.
CAUGCAAGUCGAGCGGAAACGAGUUAUCUGAACCUUCGGGGAACGAUAACGGCGUCGAGCGGCGGACGGGUGAGUAAUGCCUAGGAAAUUGCCCUGAUGUGGGGGAUAACCAUUGGAAACGAUGGCUAAUACCGCAUAACGCCUACGGGCCAAAGAGGGGGACCUUCGGGCCUCUCGCGUCAGGAUAUGCCUAGGUGGGAUUAGCUAGUUGGUGAGGUAAGGGCUCACCAAGGCGACGAUCCCUAGCUGGUCUGAGAGGAUGAUCAGCCACACUGGAACUGAGACACGGUCCAGACUCCUACGGGAGGCAGCAGUGGGGAAUAUUGCACAAUGGGCGCAAGCCUGAUGCAGCCAUGCCGCGUGUGUGAAGAAGGCCUUCGGGUUGUAAAGCACUUUCAGUCGUGAGGAAGGUAGUGUAGUUAAUAGCUGCAUUGUUUGACGUUAGCGACAGAAGAAGCACCGGCUAACUCCGUGCCAGCAGCCGCGGUAAUACGGAGGGUGCGAGCGUUAAUCGGAAUUACUGGGCGUAAAGCGCAUGCAGGUGGUUUGUUAAGUCAGAUGUGAAAGCCCGGGGCUCAACCUCGGAAUUGCAUUUGAAAC